Molecule: unclassified non-coding RNA, 352 nt
Filed under: soil metagenome
Description: partial contains 5.8S ribosomal RNA, internal transcribed spacer 2, and large subunit ribosomal RNA
Rfam family: 5.8S ribosomal RNA (bases 1-120)
Source: RNAcentral
GAUGAAGAACGUAGCGAAAUGCGAUAAGUAAUGUGAAUUGCAGAAUUCAGUGAAUCAUCGAAUCUUUGAACGCACAUUGCGCCCGCCAGUAUUCUGGCGGGCAUGCCUGUUCGAGCGUCAUUACAACCCUCAGGCCCCCGGGCCUGGCGUUGGGGAUCGGCGGAGCCCCCCGUGGGCACACGCCGUCCCCCAAAUACAGUGGCGGUCCCGCCGCAGCUUCCAUCGCGUAGUAGCUAACACCUCGCGACUGGAGAGCGGCGCGGCCACGCCGUAAAACACCCAACUCUUCUGAAGUUGACCUCGAGUCAGGUAGGAAUACCCGCUGAACUUAAGCAUAUCAAUAAGCGGAGGA